RNAcentral lists this ribosomal RNA (2901 nucleotides) under Escherichia coli. RNAcentral's name for it is "bacterial LSU rRNA". It matches the Rfam family "Bacterial large subunit ribosomal RNA". Lineage: Bacteria; Pseudomonadati; Pseudomonadota; Gammaproteobacteria; Enterobacterales; Enterobacteriaceae. The record is from RNAcentral.
UUAAGCGACUAAGCGUACACGGUGGAUGCCCUGGCAGUCAGAGGCGAUGAAGGACGUGCUAAUCUGCGAUAAGCGUCGGUAAGGUGAUAUGAACCGUUAUAACCGGCGAUUUCCGAAUGGGGAAACCCAGUGUGAUUCGUCACACUAUCAUUAACUGAAUCCAUAGGUUAAUGAGGCGAACCGGGGGAACUGAAACAUCUAAGUACCCCGAGGAAAAGAAAUCAACCGAGAUUCCCCCAGUAGCGGCGAGCGAACGGGGAGGAGCCCAGAGCCUGAAUCAGUGUGUGUGUUAGUGGAAGCGUCUGGAAAGGCGCGCGAUACAGGGUGACAGCCCCGUACACAAAAAUGCACAUAUUGUGAGCUCGAUGAGUAGGGCGGGACACGUGGUAUCCUGUCUGAAUAUGGGGGGACCAUCCUCCAAGGCUAAAUACUCCUGACUGACCGAUAGUGAACCAGUACCGUGAGGGAAAGGCGAAAAGAACCCCGGCGAGGGGAGUGAAAAAGAACCUGAAACCGUGUACGUACAAGCAGUGGGAGCCUCUUUUAUGGGGUGACUGCGUACCUUUUGUAUAAUGGGUCAGCGACUUAUAUUCUGUAGCAAGGUUAACCGAAUAGGGGAGCCGAAGGGAAACCGAGUCUUAACUGGGCGUUAAGUUGCAGGGUAUAGACCCGAAACCCGGUGAUCUAGCCAUGGGCAGGUUGAAGGUUGGGUAACACUAACUGGAGGACCGAACCGACUAAUGUUGAAAAAUUAGCGGAUGACUUGUGGCUGGGGGUGAAAGGCCAAUCAAACCGGGAGAUAGCUGGUUCUCCCCGAAAGCUAUUUAGGUAGCGCCUCGUGAAUUCAUCUCCGGGGGUAGAGCACUGUUUCGGCAAGGGGGUCAUCCCGACUUACCAACCCGAUGCAAACUGCGAAUACCGGAGAAUGUUAUCACGGGAGACACACGGCGGGUGCUAACGUCCGUCGUGAAGAGGGAAACAACCCAGACCGCCAGCUAAGGUCCCAAAGUCAUGGUUAAGUGGGAAACGAUGUGGGAAGGCCCAGACAGCCAGGAUGUUGGCUUAGAAGCAGCCAUCAUUUAAAGAAAGCGUAAUAGCUCACUGGUCGAGUCGGCCUGCGCGGAAGAUGUAACGGGGCUAAACCAUGCACCGAAGCUGCGGCAGCGACACUAUGUGUUGUUGGGUAGGGGAGCGUUCUGUAAGCCUGUGAAGGUGUACUGUGAGGUAUGCUGGAGGUAUCAGAAGUGCGAAUGCUGACAUAAGUAACGAUAAAGCGGGUGAAAAGCCCGCUCGCCGGAAGACCAAGGGUUCCUGUCCAACGUUAAUCGGGGCAGGGUGAGUCGACCCCUAAGGCGAGGCCGAAAGGCGUAGUCGAUGGGAAACAGGUUAAUAUUCCUGUACUUGGUGUUACUGCGAAGGGGGGACGGAGAAGGCUAUGUUGGCCGGGCGACGGUUGUCCCGGUUUAAGCGUGUAGGCUGGUUUUCCAGGCAAAUCCGGAAAAUCAAGGCUGAGGCGUGAUGACGAGGCACUACGGUGCUGAAGCAACAAAUGCCCUGCUUCCAGGAAAAGCCUCUAAGCAUCAGGUAACAUCAAAUCGUACCCCAAACCGACACAGGUGGUCAGGUAGAGAAUACCAAGGCGCUUGAGAGAACUCGGGUGAAGGAACUAGGCAAAAUGGUGCCGUAACUUCGGGAGAAGGCACGCUGAUAUGUAGGUGAAGUCCCUCGCGGAUGGAGCUGAAAUCAGUCGAAGAUACCAGCUGGCUGCAACUGUUUAUUAAAAACACAGCACUGUGCAAACACGAAAGUGGACGUAUACGGUGUGACGCCUGCCCGGUGCCGGAAGGUUAAUUGAUGGGGUCAGCGCAAGCGAAGCUCUUGAUCGAAGCCCCGGUAAACGGCGGCCGUAACUAUAACGGUCCUAAGGUAGCGAAAUUCCUUGUCGGGUAAGUUCCGACCUGCACGAAUGGCGUAAUGAUGGCCAGGCUGUCUCCACCCGAGACUCAGUGAAAUUGAACUCGCUGUGAAGAUGCAGUGUACCCGCGGCAAGACGGAAAGACCCCGUGAACCUUUACUAUAGCUUGACACUGAACAUUGAGCCUUGAUGUGUAGGAUAGGUGGGAGGCUUUGAAGUGUGGACGCCAGUCUGCAUGGAGCCGACCUUGAAAUACCACCCUUUAAUGUUUGAUGUUCUAACGUUGACCCGUAAUCCGGGUUGCGGACAGUGUCUGGUGGGUAGUUUGACUGGGGCGGUCUCCUCCUAAAGAGUAACGGAGGAGCACGAAGGUUGGCUAAUCCUGGUCGGACAUCAGGAGGUUAGUGCAAUGGCAUAAGCCAGCUUGACUGCGAGCGUGACGGCGCGAGCAGGUGCGAAAGCAGGUCAUAGUGAUCCGGUGGUUCUGAAUGGAAGGGCCAUCGCUCAACGGAUAAAAGGUACUCCGGGGAUAACAGGCUGAUACCGCCCAAGAGUUCAUAUCGACGGCGGUGUUUGGCACCUCGAUGUCGGCUCAUCACAUCCUGGGGCUGAAGUAGGUCCCAAGGGUAUGGCUGUUCGCCAUUUAAAGUGGUACGCGAGCUGGGUUUAGAACGUCGUGAGACAGUUCGGUCCCUAUCUGCCGUGGGCGCUGGAGAACUGAGGGGGGCUGCUCCUAGUACGAGAGGACCGGAGUGGACGCAUCACUGGUGUUCGGGUUGUCAUGCCAAUGGCACUGCCCGGUAGCUAAAUGCGGAAGAGAUAAGUGCUGAAAGCAUCUAAGCACGAAACUUGCCCCGAGAUGAGUUCUCCCUGACCCUUUAAGGGUCCUGAAGGAACGUUGAAGACGACGACGUUGAUAGGCCGGGUGUGUAAGCGCAGCGAUGCGUUGAGCUAACCGGUACUAAUGAACCGUGAGGCUUAACCUU